Molecule: long non-coding RNA, 1057 nt
Organism: Phyllostomus discolor (pale spear-nosed bat)
Lineage: Eukaryota; Metazoa; Chordata; Mammalia; Chiroptera; Phyllostomidae
Exons: 2
Source: RefSeq, a predicted model, not a curated record
CAGCUUCUUCAAAAGCCCAUGUGGCAGUGAGGACAGUGAAAUUUUGUUUCUGUGAAGUUUGCAUGCCCAGACAUUCUGAACACAGAGGCCUCUUUAGUGGCCAGUAAGGCUUUACAUGCUUUGAAGGCUAGACAAUUUUUGUUUAGCACAAUUUUCUUAAAAAGCAAGUGAAGGUGAGUGGGGUGUGUUCUUUAAUUCAUGAUCUAUUGUGGCACUUAUAUAAAUUAUCUUUCUGAGUUGCUGAAAAAGAGUUAUGUUAAACACUCACCUCGUGAGUUUAUGUAACUUAUGGUCAGAUAAAUUACCAUUUAAAUAAAAUCUUUUGAGCAGCACAUCUGUUCUCUGUGUUUCUCCCAAGUCACAUCUGCUUCCUUUACAUAAAGAAACAAACUUUUACUACCGUUAGUGCAGUAAUGCCAAUACAAUGUGCAGGAGAAUUGAAUCAUUUUGGCUUCCACCGGCAUCCAGGGAAGUUCUGAGUAUGCCCCCUUCUGCCCCAUACACUUAUGUUGAUUUGAAGUUUAUAUUUGGCAUUCUAAGAAUCAGUCUCCUGAUUUCUGUGCUGCAUAGGGAAAUAGAAAGGAACUGUGAGAGGUUUUUAAAUAAAAUAUUCCAGUUAGAGUAACCCGAUUUCAACUGUGACAUUUGGAACAUUGAAAGAGGUUGCGAGUAAAGGAGAAACAAAUAAAGGGAGAUGCUCUUGAUAACUCCAGUGAUUCUUUGUAGGAUUUAAUUGCUCCAAAGGGUCCUUAGAACUUUUAUCUCUCUUUUGCCAUUUUUGUCCUCAUUUCUCAAGUCCAAACUACCUGUGGCAACAGUCCAUGGCCAGAGAGCAAGAAUGGUGAUGAGAAAAGGGAGAGAUAUUGGACACUAGGGUUAACAUUUGUAUAAGUCCUUCUACUACUACCAAGCUGAGUCUAAAACAUGACAUUUUUUAAAAGACAUUUGUGGCUUCAUCCAACAACAGAGUUUGGCUCCAUAUAAGACAAUUUAAAGCAAAUGGUUACUCUGGGCCAGUGAUUCUUAACACUUUAGAGGAAUCAAGGUAUCCUUUUUU